This 429-nucleotide ribosomal RNA is filed under the name Bacteroidota bacterium. Its description in RNAcentral is "Bacteroidetes bacterium partial 16S ribosomal RNA". It matches the Rfam family "Bacterial small subunit ribosomal RNA", at positions 355 to 776 of the family's 1533-position model. Lineage: Bacteria; Pseudomonadati; Bacteroidota. RNAcentral also lists the same sequence under 1 other name. The record is from RNAcentral.
UAGGGAAUCUUCGGCAAUGGGGGGAACCCUGACCGAGCAACGCCGCGUGAGUGAAGAAGGUUUUCGGAUCGUAAAGCUCUGUUGUUAAGGAAGAACGAGUGUGAGAAUGGAAAGUUCAUGCUGUGACGGUACUUAACCAGAAAGGGACGGCUAACUACGUGCCAGCAGCCGCGGUAAUACGUAGGUCCCGAGCGUUGUCCGGAUUUAUUGGGCGUAAAGCGAGCGCAGGCGGUUAGAAAAGUCUGAAGUGAAAGGCAGUGGCUCAACCAUUGUAGGCUUUGGAAACUGUUUAACUUGAGUGCAGAAGGGGAGAGUGGAAUUCCAUGUGUAGCGGUGAAAUGCGUAGAUAUAUGGAAGAACACCGGUGGCGAAAGCGGCUCUCUGGUCUGUAACUGACGCUGAGGCUCGAAAGCGUGGGGAGCGAACAGG